RNAcentral lists this non-coding RNA (86 nucleotides) under Pseudomonas sp. URMO17WK12:I11. The record is from RNAcentral. Lineage: Bacteria; Pseudomonadati; Pseudomonadota; Gammaproteobacteria; Pseudomonadales; Pseudomonadaceae.
UUUCAUGGCGGUUGUGCGUGGGGCAUCUUCGGAUGCACCGGUUUCUGGUUUGCCGGUCUGUCAACCCGCGUACGGCUGCCACCCAU